This 89-nucleotide ribosomal RNA is filed under the name Peptoniphilus sp. DNF00840. Lineage: Bacteria; Bacillati; Bacillota; Tissierellia; Tissierellales; Peptoniphilaceae. The record is from RNAcentral.
UGGUGAGAAUAGGACAAUGGACACACCUGUACCCAUACCGAACACAGAAGUUAAGCAUUAGUCCGCUGAUGGUACUUGGUUGGCAACGA